AAUAGUCUGGUUCUUACUCUGCCUCUACUGAGCUGCAUGACCCUGGAUUCUGCAUGUGUCACAUUUUCCUCAACUAUGGAAAAUGAGCUCCAGAAAGUGGUUGAAGGUGUUUUCAAAGGAAACUGCUAGAAGCUGAUUCUGGAAACCCUUGGCAUAAUUAAACACCAGAGAUUCACUGAGAACCAGAGGAGCUCCAGAUCUGCUAUAACUUGGGUUAAUCAUUCCUUCUCUACUGUCAUGUUUUCAAGUCACCAAAAAGGAGCAACUGACCUAACACUCUCCCUGAGUCAUAAAGUUUGUCUGAGUGAGCAGCAAAAUGAAUAUGAAGCUGUCCUCAUGCCUGAGUGCUUACUUCUAACUUAAGAAUUCCCCAAGGAGCUGGCACUCAACAAGCUUCUGAUAAGACAGACCUGGAACCAUAUGCCAUUCUAGCACUUACUUACUGAGACUGUGGGCAAGUUAGCUAAUGUAACUGAGCUUCAGAGGCUUCCUGUGUAGAAUGGAGCUGGAAGUACCUGCCUCACAGUUAUGUGGGUUAAAUGAUGAAUGCAGAAUGGCUGAUGAAGAGGACCACUCUGACACCAACAAAGAAUGACCAGAGAAUACACCAUCAACGUUCACAAAUGCAUCCACAGAACAGGCUUCAAGAAGCAUGCCCUUGGACACCCAAAGAGACCCAGGAAUAUGCCAUGAAAGAGAGAAAGGCUCCAGAUGUGUGCAUUGAUACAAAGCUUAACAAAGCUGUCUGGGCCAGGGAGUAAGAAAUGUCCCAUAUUAAAUCCUUGUGCAGUUGUCCAGAAAACGUAAUCAGGAUAAAGAUUCACCAAACAAUCUUUACACAUUGGUUACCUAUGUUUGUACUAGUCACCAAUUUCAAAAGUCUACAGAAACUCAACGUGAAUAAUGAGAACCUCAUUGUUAAAUAAAGUUAUGAAACUGCCAGAGGGGAGGAGGCUGGGAGAUGGGCAAAAUGGGCAAAGACAAGUGGGAUGUCUAGGCUCCCAGGUAUGGAAUAAAUAAGUCACAAGUAUAAAAGUCACAGGGAAUCCAGUCAAUGAUAUUUUUGAUAGCAUUAUACCGCAACAGAUAGCUACAUUUGUGGUGAAUAUAACUCAUCCAUGUGGUUUGAAGAAAGGAGGUAUGUCUUUUUGGUAGAGUGCUUCUGGAAAGAAUGAAGUAAAAGAACAUAUUAACCUAGGGGAAACAUGAUCUUUUCCUAUUUCCUUAUCAGAACUGCCCCUUAACUGUACCAGGUAAGUAAGGAUGAAACCCACACUUCUGCACUAAUCAAAGGUUUUUGUGGUCUGUUUGAAUACCCUUGGUUUCUUCUAAAGUCAAACUGACCCUCCCAACCCUACCCUCACAAGGCAGGGCAGGUUCCCCAACUCUCACAAAAAGCCAGAUAAACCAAACCUUAACAUCUGUCUGAUGCCUUCCCCUCCUCGUUUGUAUAUCACUCCAGAGCCCUUGGAUGGAAGGGAUUUUGCUAUCCUAUUCAUUAGUUCCCUUCAGCUAUUGGGCACAGGCUCUGCUCUUCCCACAUGGCCUCUUGGAGGGCAUGUGACAGCACCCCUGAUGCUCUGAAACAAAUGAGAGCUUCCAAGGCAGCAAAGCAUCCUACCU
Canis lupus familiaris (dog) is the source of this 1623-nucleotide long non-coding RNA. RefSeq lists it as uncharacterized. The record is from RefSeq and is a predicted model, not a curated record. Lineage: Eukaryota; Metazoa; Chordata; Mammalia; Carnivora; Canidae. The transcript has 5 exons.